Non-coding RNA from Podarcis lilfordi (Lilford's wall lizard), 78 nucleotides. The record is from the annotation of a GenBank genome assembly. NCBI's taxonomy places the organism in Eukaryota, Metazoa, Chordata, Lepidosauria, Squamata, Lacertidae.
GGAAAUAUAGCUCUGUUGGUAGAGCAUGAGGCUCUUAAUUUCAUGAUUGUGGGUUCAAGCCCCAUUGCACAGGGUUCG